ACUCCUACGGGAGGCAGCAGUGGGGAAUAUUGCACAAUGGGGGAAACCCUGAUGCAGCCAUGCCGCGUGUGUGAAGAAGGCCUUCGGGUUGUAAAGCACUUUCAGCGAGGAGGAAAGGGUNUGUGCUAAUACCAUACANCUUGUGACGUUACCCACAGAAGAAGCACCGGCGUAACUCCGUGCCAGCAGCCGCGGUAAUACGGAGGGUGCAAGCGUUAAUCGGAAUUACUGGGCGUAAAGCGUGCGCAGGCGGUCUGUUAAGCGAGAUGUGAAAGCCCCGGGCUCAACCUGGGAACUGCAUUUCGAACUGGCGACUAGAGUCUUGUAGAGGGGGGUAGAAUUUCCAGGUGUAGCGGUGAAAUGCGUAGAGAUCUGGAGGAAUAC
Molecule: ribosomal RNA, 384 nt
Filed under: uncultured bacterium
Lineage: Bacteria
Description: bacterial SSU rRNA
Rfam family: Bacterial small subunit ribosomal RNA
Source: RNAcentral